CCAUUUACAAACUAAAAAAAUUAUCAAAUAAGUUUUAUGAUAAUUUUUUUAAUUUUUUGUAAAUAUAAAUUGAAAACUGAAAACUGAAAACAAAAUGGUUACCAAAUAGAGCCUUAAUAAUUGUCGAAAUAGUUUUUUCAAAAUAGAGUACUAUGUUUUUCAAAAUCAUUUUCGAUAAAAAUUAUAAAACAUAAUGAUGAGUAUUUAUUUUAUGAAAAUUCGUUGACUGAUUAGUGUUCAACUCAAUUUGUGGGGUGUACCAUAUAGUCAAAAAAAUUAUAUAUGAUUGUAUUGAAUGAAAAUGUUUAUAUUUCAAAGUGAACAAAAUAUUAUUGUAGUGUAUAAAAAUAUUAUAUUUUGUGGUAAGAAAAAUUAUAUCAUUUCAGAAAAAUGUAAAAUAUUUUUUCAUAUUAGUAAAACAAAUUUAUUGUAUUAUGCACUUUAUUGAAAUCCUUGGCAAGGCAGCCUACAUGGGGCUGCCAUGUUAUUGUCCUUGCCUAUCUUUUCCUUCACAUUGGUUUUAAAAUUCAAUUUUGCUUGCAAGAUUGGCAGAGCCCUUCUCUCUCUCUCUCUCUCUCUCUCUCUCUCUUCCUCCAUUGUUGGUCACCCUUUUAGCUUCGUAUACGUAACAUUGCGGAUAAAGCCGGUCCUAGUAACAUCUACAGAAAUGCACCGUUAAAGGAAACAAUCGAUGAAAUUGUGCGGGAAAUGGUUGUAGAAACUAAUCACAACUUGGUAGAAGCGUGGAACAUUGCGGCAAUGUAUUAUUACAACAAUUACUACCAAGUCUUGCGAAAUACAUCAAUCUUGUCGGGACGAUUAUAGAUGUACGAGUUGUUUAAUGGCCAGCAAGUCCAAUUUGAAGAUGCAGUCAGUAUGUCUCAACCAGUGUUCUUGAAGUUGUGUGAUGCUCUACACAAUUUUGGGUUGACAGCACCGUAGUGGGAGCAUGGGGUGCCGCUCGAAGAAAAUGUAGCAAUUUUCAUUUCUGUUUUGUAGGGAAUUUCACGGAGGAAUUUGCAAGAACGGUUCCAACACUCAAAGGAGACAUUGUCAUGGCAUUUCCAUGAGGUUUUGCAAGUUAUGAUACCAUCUAUGUCAAUUCAGAGUAGGACCCGAUCAAGUCCAACAUGGGGGCCAUCCACAUUUACGCUCUAAACGGCAGUACCGGCCAUUCAAGGAAAAUACUACUUGGUCGAUAGCGGGUACAACAACAAGACAGGAUAUUUAGCCCCGCACAAAGGGUAUUGAUAUCAUCAAAAUGCCUAUCACAACCGAAUACCACAAAACGUGUUUGAACGGUUCAACAAGGCACAUUCGUCCUUGUGUAGUUGUAUCGAGCGAACAUUUGGUGCUUGGAAGUCGAGGUGGGGGCCUUUGCCGAAUGUGCCGAAGAUAAAUUUUUUUGAUCAAGUGCCCUUUGUAUGUGCGUCGAUGGCUUUACAUAACUUUAUACGCCGGAAUAGUCAAUUUGAUACGAUCAUGCCAGAAAUCCCAGACGACGAUAAGUACGUUGCGCCGUAAAUGCCCGACCAUCCCGAAUACACCUAGGUUGGUGAUAUCAUAGAGUCAGGGGACUCAAAUUCCCAUAUGGCAACUAUUAAAGCGAAUAUUACAUAUGCACUGUGACAGCAAGGGCACGUUUAAGGCCGAUGCAUUUGUUGCUGUGGCGGGUCUUAUAUUCGUUGUAUGUUGUGUAACACUGAUGUAUGUUGUUGAAAGUGAUUCUAUUAUUAUAUCAUUAAUUAUAAUGAAAUAAUUU
This is a non-coding RNA of Camellia sinensis, 1762 nucleotides long. The record is from RefSeq and is a predicted model, not a curated record. Lineage: Eukaryota; Viridiplantae; Streptophyta; Magnoliopsida; Ericales; Theaceae.